UAACGGCGAGUGAACAGGGAUUAGCCCAGCACCGAAGCCUGCGUCCGUUUGGGCGUUGGGCAAUGUGGUGUUUAGGUUGGUGCGUUGGUGUGUUACUCCGUUCCAAGUCCAAUAAUGAAUAUGGCUUUAGCAUGGCCCAGAGAGGGUGAAAGGCCCGUGUGGACGGAGUGAUGCUCUACUGCGUUGACUUUGGAGUCGGGUUGUUUGAGAAUGCAGCCCAAAGUUGGUGGUAAACUCCAUCUAAGGCUAAAUACUGGCACGAGUCCGAUAGCGAACAAGUACCGUGAGGGAAAGUUGAAAAGUACUCUGAAGAGAGAGUUAACAGUGCGUGAAACCGCUUAGAGGCAAACGGGUGUAGUCAAGCUGCAAGCCCAUUGAAAUAGGGGGGCCAGAAUGGCGUGAGUCUGAGCACAUAGAUCUGGCAUGGAGGUGCGUCCGUAUGGCGUGUUCGGUUCGCAAGAACUGGAUCUGUGAGGUGGUUCGUCGCUGCAGGCCUUUGUGUCAGUUGUUCUGCUGGCCCUCUCACUUUCUCUGGGCGUAUGUCACGACCGUCGUUGCUGUCGGUCUGCUCCGUCUAAACCGCAUCAUGAGUAGUCUUGUGCUUCUCGUGGUAUGGAGGCAGGUAGCCGGUACAGCUUUAGUUGGACUGGUGUUAUUGCUGGGCGGAGUGGUACCUGUAACUGUGCAGUGCGGCGGGGCUGGCGGUGCAUUGUUUCCGGGCGUGCUAAAACAUUCUGGCGUGACGUGGGUCUGGCUGCUUGUUGCUAUCUAUGAUGGCCUUGUGGCGGCUCUGUUGCGGUUUGGAGUGUGGCUGCGUCUGGGCAUUCUUUGCGUUGAGCCAAUAGUCUGUGGCGUAGUGGUAGACGAUCCACCCGA
This 876-nucleotide ribosomal RNA is filed under the name Choricotyle chrysophryi. RNAcentral's name for it is "partial large subunit ribosomal RNA". It matches the Rfam family "Eukaryotic large subunit ribosomal RNA", at positions 84 to 647 of the family's 3401-position model. Lineage: Eukaryota; Metazoa; Platyhelminthes; Monogenea; Mazocraeidea; Diclidophoridae. The record is from RNAcentral.